UACGUAGGUGGCGAGCGUUGUACGGAUUUACUGGGCGUAAAGGGAGCGUAGGCGGACUUUUAAGUGAGAUGUGAAAUACCCGGGCUCAACUUGGGUGCUGCAUUUCAAACUGGAAGUCUAGAGUGCAGGAGAGGAGAAUGGAAUUCCUAGUGUAGCGGUGAAAUGCGUAGAGAUUAGGAAGAACACCAGUGGCGAAGGCGAUUCUCUGGACUGUAACUGACGCUGAGGCCCGAAAGCGUGGGGAGCAAACAGGAUUAGAUACCCCUGUAGU
Molecule: ribosomal RNA, 271 nt
Filed under: uncultured prokaryote
Description: partial 16S ribosomal RNA
Rfam family: Bacterial small subunit ribosomal RNA
Source: RNAcentral